UUGUAGCUGGCCGCANGGCAUGUGCACGCUCUCUACUCAAUCCAACCUUACACCUGUGCACCUAUUGUAGGUCGAGUGGCUGGACUUGUUCUGGUCGCUCUUCCUAUGUUUUACACAUACACUUGUAGUCUCAGAAUGUAAUCAGCGUAUAACGCAUUAUAAAACAACUUUCAACAACGGAUCUCUUGGCUCUCGCAUCGAUGAAGAACGCAGCGAAAUGCGAUAAGUAAUGUGAAUUGCAGAAUUCAGUGAAUCAUCGAAUCUUUGAACGCACCUUGCGCUCCUUGGUAUUCCGAGGAGCAUGCCUGUUUGAGUGUCAUGAAUAUCUCAACUCACCCGGUUUUUAUUAACUGUGGUGGGCUUGGACUUGGAGGUAUGCUGGCUGACUAGUCGGCUCCUCUCUAAAUGCAUUAGCUGGACCUGUUAUGGAUCAGUACUCGGUGUGAUAAUUGUCUACGCCGUGUCUGUGAAGUGCUUGAAUGGACUAGCUUCUAACCGUCUUCGGACAACUAUUGACAUUUUGACCUCAAAUCAGGUAGGAUUACCCGCUGAACUUAAGCAUAUCAAUAAGCGGAGGAA
Molecule: ribosomal RNA, 579 nt
Filed under: Gloeophyllum sepiarium
Lineage: Eukaryota; Fungi; Basidiomycota; Agaricomycetes; Gloeophyllales; Gloeophyllaceae
Description: partial 18S ribosomal RNA
Rfam family: 5.8S ribosomal RNA (bases 166-319)
Source: RNAcentral